Molecule: small nucleolar RNA, 138 nt
Filed under: Ornithorhynchus anatinus (platypus)
Lineage: Eukaryota; Metazoa; Chordata; Mammalia; Monotremata; Ornithorhynchidae
Source: RNAcentral
CCCCUCUCAAGGUUGCACCUGGAGAGUUUCCAGUACUCUACCAGUCAUGACUGCGGGAGGAAAAGUCAAGCAGAGGCCUACCCAUUCCAUUGCUAGGUUGGGCAGUGGCUAGCGAGUGGAAGGCCAUCUGCUACAGGU